CUCUGACUACGUAAAACAAAUAAGGAGUAUAGGGUAGCCGUAACGGCUACCCUAUACUCCUUAUUUGUUUUACGUAGUCAUUA
Molecule: microRNA precursor, 83 nt
Filed under: Spirosoma utsteinense
Lineage: Bacteria; Pseudomonadati; Bacteroidota; Cytophagia; Cytophagales; Cytophagaceae
Description: microRNA MIR1846
Source: RNAcentral